GCCGCGUGAGGGAGGAGGCCUGUGGGUUGUAAACCUCUUUUCUCAAGGAAGAAGUUCUGACGGUACUUGAGGAAUCAGCAUCGGCUAACUCCGUGCCAGCAGCCGCGGUAAGACGGAGGAUGCAAGCGUUAUCCGGAAUUAUUGGGCGUAAAGCGUCCGUAGGCGGUUUCAAAAGUCUGUUGUUAAAUCCCACAGCUCAACUGUGGAUCGGCGAUGGAAACUGUGAGACUAGAGAGUGGUAGGGGUAGAGGGAAUUCCUAGUGUAGCGGUGAAAUGCGUAGAUAUUAGGAAGAACACCAGUGGCGAAGGCGCUCUACUGGGCCAUUACUGACGCUGAUGGACGAAAGCUAGGGGAGCGAAAGGGAUUAGAUACCCCUGUAGUCCUAGCUGUAAACGAUGGAUACUAGGUGUUGGCCGUAUCGACCCGGUCAGUAUCGAAGCAAACGCGUUAAGUAUCCCGCCUGGGGAGUACGCACGCAAGUGUGAAACUCAAAGGAAUUGACGGGGGCCCGCACAAGCGGUGGAGUAUGUGGUUUAAUUCGAUGCAACGCGAAGAACCUUACCAGGGAUUGACAUCCUACGAAUCUUUCUGAAAGGAGAGAGUGCCUUCGGGAACGUAGAGACAGGUGGUGCAUGGCUGUCGUCAGCUCGUGUCGUGAGAUGUUGGGUUAAGUCCCGCAACGAGCGGCAACCCUCGUCCUUAGUUGCCAUCAUUAAGUUGGGCACUUUAGGGAGACUGCCGGUGACAAACCGGAGGAAGGUGGGGAUGACGUCAAGUCAUCAUGCCCCUUACAUCCUGGGCUACACACGUACUACAAUGCAACGGACAAAGGGCAGCCAACUAGCGAUAGUGAGCUAAUCCCAUAAACCGUUGCUCAGUUCAGAUUGCAGGCUGCAACUCGCCUGCAUGAAGGCGGAAUCGCUAGUAAUCGCAGGUCAGCAUACUGCGGUGAAUACGUUCCCGGGCCUUGUACACACCGCCCGUCACACCAUGGAAGUUGGCCACGCCCGAAGUCGUUACCCCAACCGUUUACGGAGGGGGACGCCGAAGGCAGGGCUGAUGACUGGGGUGAAGUCGUAACAAGGUAGCCGUACCGGAAGGUGUGGCUGGAUCACCUCCUUA
RNAcentral lists this ribosomal RNA (1123 nucleotides) under Phormidesmis priestleyi ULC074. Its description in RNAcentral is "bacterial SSU rRNA". It matches the Rfam family "Bacterial small subunit ribosomal RNA", at positions 396 to 1533 of the family's 1533-position model. The record is from RNAcentral. Lineage: Bacteria; Bacillati; Cyanobacteriota; Cyanophyceae; Leptolyngbyales; Leptolyngbyaceae.